AUGGAAAUUCAACAUUAAUAUUAUAAUAUUUAUUUAUAAAUAUUAUAAAAAUAGUGUGCAAUUUUUCCAUAUAAGGACAUUGUAAUCUGUUAAUGUAAUAAAUAUUUAUCAUAAAAUUCAAUAAAUCAAAGUUUAUUCAAAUUAGUUAUUUUCCGAUUUCUAACAUAGAAUAAAUUUAAUUGAAUUUGAUAAAUCAUUGACAGAUUUAUUUAUAUAUAGUGCUUAAAUUUUUAAUUAAAUUUUACAAUAAUUUAUAAAUAUAUUAUUAUUUAUUUAUUUAUUGUAUGCACUUAUAUGAUUAACAAUGCUAUAGAUUCAGGAUACCUUCGGGACCCGUCUUGAAACACGGACCAAGGAGUCUAACAUAUGUGCAAGUCAUUGGGUAUUUUUAAUAAAACCCAAAGGCAUAAUUAACUUAACUGUUUUUUUAAUAAUGGGAUUAGUUUAUAUUUUAUUAUGAAAUAUUAAUUCAAUCCCGGGGCGUUCUAUAUAGUUAUGUAUAAUAAUAUUUAUAUUAUUUAUGCCUCUAACUAGAGCGUACCUUGAGCAUAUAUGCUGU
RNAcentral lists this ribosomal RNA (559 nucleotides) under Merodon rufus. RNAcentral's name for it is "partial 28S ribosomal RNA". Lineage: Eukaryota; Metazoa; Arthropoda; Insecta; Diptera; Syrphidae. The record is from RNAcentral.